UCCAUGAUGGCAGGCAGGGACAG
This 23-nucleotide unclassified non-coding RNA is filed under the name Mus musculus (house mouse). RNAcentral's name for it is "oocyte_clustered_small_RNA302". Lineage: Eukaryota; Metazoa; Chordata; Mammalia; Rodentia; Muridae. The record is from RNAcentral.